This 253-nucleotide ribosomal RNA is filed under the name uncultured bacterium. RNAcentral describes it as "partial 16S ribosomal RNA". It matches the Rfam family "Bacterial small subunit ribosomal RNA", at positions 524 to 776 of the family's 1533-position model. The record is from RNAcentral.
CACGUAGGGUGCGAGCGUUGUCCGGAAUUAUUGGGCGUAAAGAGCUCGUAGGCGGUGUGUCGCGUCGGCCGUGAAAACCUGCAGCUUAACUGUGGGCGUGCGGGCGAUACGGGCAGACUAGAGUACUGCAGGGGAGACUGGAAUUCCUGGUGUAGCGGUGGAAUGCGCAGAUAUCAGGAGGAACACCGGUGGCGAAGGCGGGUCUCUGGGCCGUAACUGACGCUGAGGAGCGAAAGCGUGGGGAGCAAACAGG